AGUAAAGGCAGACAAGCAUGAGGCAAGUCCCAGAAGGUAUGAGGACAUAGACAAGAGCAGGAAGCCCUCACAAAGAUGUCUUCACAAGGCUGCAAGUGGCCAGCUGAGCAGACCACCAAACUCAUCAUGAUGGGUGUAAGAACUGGGGGCUCAAGCAUGCAGGCAACGGAUUGUAACAUUGAUGUGGGAGUCACUUGUGGACAGGGUCUUGCUAUGUAGUCCAGUUUGACCUCAAAUUCAUGAUCUUCCUGCCUCAUCGUCCUGAGGGCUGGGAUCACAGAAGUGUGUUAAAACACAGAAGUUAGAUUACAUGGAAAUUGGAAGUUGGAGAAACCAUGUGGGGCCACAGAGAGGUAGAGGUGGCAGAGGAGCACCAGCUGUACCAGUAUCCAUCCCUCUGAGGCUUCCUAGUGAGAACUGUCAAACUGGAGUGUGCUAGCCUGCAGAGAAUGCCAAUCCCUGGACUUCAAGUCUGAAGCAUCUCUACCUGGACCAGUUAGCAGAGAUGAAAAGAAAUAGCUCCAAAGCAGCUCUACCUGGACCAGUUAACAGAGAUGAAAAGAAAAAGCAUCAUUGGUCCAUUUGAGUCCUGUGUGUUGAUUAUUUAUCUUGCCCCUCUUAUCCUGUUGAAGGGAACAGUGUUUUGCACAAGACAUUUCAAGGCCAAGUUCUCAGCACAAAGGAGAUUUACUUGCCCCAGAGGAACAGAGGGCAGGGAAAAAGAGACAGAGACAAGAGAUAGAGGACAAGGGAGAAGGGGAAAGGAACAGGGGAGAUGGAGAAGGGGUGUUUGUCCUGAAGGACAAAGGAUUGCCUCUGGAUAGAGAGGAGACAGAUGUGGCCCACAGGAAAACGGUGGUUUAUAAAGGUAAAUGAGGAAACCCUGUGUUAGGAUGAGGUGCCUAAUUUUGAUUAGACAGGUUAAUUAGGGUGACCACAAGGGGGCUUUUGAUUGCUAGACUUCAGUUCUUUUAGCUGGACCUUGGCAGUCAGUCUCAGGGGGAGGAAGUGGCCAGACAGGGGAGCAGACCUUGCAGGCUAGCUUUAGGAAUGCAAUUUAAUAUUUUUCUCAAGGAAGAAGGAAUAGGGGAGAAAGGCAAGACCUGCCAGAGCCAUUUUUGCCAUGGCCAGGCCACGAGUCCCUGCCAAGUACAUGGUGAUCCUUAAUGUCAGCACUCGGGAG
This 1183-nucleotide long non-coding RNA is filed under the name Cricetulus griseus (Chinese hamster). RNAcentral describes it as "lncRNA (ENSCGRG00015040613.1)". The record is from RNAcentral. Lineage: Eukaryota; Metazoa; Chordata; Mammalia; Rodentia; Cricetidae.